AGCCGCAUAGCUUAGUUGGAAGAGCACUGCGCUCAUAGUGCAGAGACGUGGGUUCGAAUCCCACUGCGGCCA
Molecule: transfer RNA, 72 nt
Filed under: Mesoflavibacter zeaxanthinifaciens
Lineage: Bacteria; Pseudomonadati; Bacteroidota; Flavobacteriia; Flavobacteriales; Flavobacteriaceae
Also listed under: 1 other name
Rfam family: tRNA
About the family: Transfer RNA (tRNA) molecules are approximately 80 nucleotides in length.
Source: RNAcentral